CUGUGCCUACGGGGCGCAGCAGUGGGGAAUAUUGGACAAUGGGGGGAACCCUGAUCCAGCGACGCCGCGUGAGUGAAGAAGUAUUUCGGUAUGUAAAGCUCUAUCAGCAGGGAAGAAAAUGACGGUACCUGACUAAGAAGCCCCGGCUAAAUACGUGCCAGCAGCCGCGGUAAUACGUAUGGGGCAAGCGUUAUCCGGAUUUACUGGGUGUAAAGGGAGCGUAGGCGGCCUGGCAAGCCUGAUGUGAAAUACCGGGGCCCAACCCCGGGGCUGCAUUGGGAACUGCCAGGCUGGCGGGCCGGAGG
This 305-nucleotide ribosomal RNA is filed under the name uncultured bacterium. RNAcentral describes it as "bacterial SSU rRNA". It matches the Rfam family "Bacterial small subunit ribosomal RNA", at positions 332 to 655 of the family's 1533-position model. The record is from RNAcentral.